This 60-nucleotide small nucleolar RNA is filed under the name Triticum aestivum (bread wheat). The record is from RNAcentral. RNAcentral also lists the same sequence under 1 other name. Lineage: Eukaryota; Viridiplantae; Streptophyta; Magnoliopsida; Poales; Poaceae.
UUUCCAUGACAGUUCUGCUUCUGAGAAUUCAUGACUGAAAAGCCUGAUAUAUUGAUUUGA